This 886-nucleotide non-coding RNA is filed under the name Nacospatangus altus. The record is from RNAcentral. Lineage: Eukaryota; Metazoa; Echinodermata; Echinoidea; Spatangoida; Maretiidae.
GCCGAUUUGGUCCUAGUCCCAAAAUUAACUAUUCUCAAAUUGCCACAUGCAAGUCAUAAGACAUACCAGUGAAGUCCCUCACCUUACUCCUAAACUGAAAAGAAACAAGAGAAAGGCUUAUUAGCAUCAGGACUGCCAAAGCUCCCGAUGACGCUAAGCGAAACGCCACAACUGCAGUGCUAAGUAUUAGACAAUCGGAAGACCCCGGAUCUAGUUAAGGAACAUAAAGGGGGUAAAAUACGUGCCAGCCACCGCGGUUACACGUAAACCCUACAGUUAACUUUAAGCGGUUUAAAGCAUGGUUAGGAUUAAUGUCUAUCAGCUAAAGCUUCAAGACAGCGGUAGAAAACUUAUCUUGAAUGAACAAACUAAGCUGAAAUAAAAUUUGAUUCCAUGAAAACUAAGGCAUAAACCAGGAUUAGAUACCCUGUUAUACUUAGAAGUAAACUAUUCAUAACACCAGAGAACUACGAACCAAAAAUUUAAAACUCAAAGGACUUGGCGGUUUUCCAAACCUCCCUGGAGGAGCUUGCCAUCGAAUCGAUAACCCACGAAACACCUCACCAACCCUAGUAAUAUCAGCCUGUAUACCAUCGUCGCAAGUCUACCUCCCAAGAAAGUUGACAAAAAGAAACCCAUCAAGACGUCAGAUCAAGGUGCAGCUAACGGGUUGGGGAUCGGUGAGCUACAUUGUCUUCAAAGCCAGUGAACAUAGUGAUGAAACCCGCUAUCAAAACCGGAUUCAGCAGUAAGCCCCAAUAGAGAAUGGGGCUGAAGGAAGCUCUGGAAUGCGUACACAUCGCCCGUCACUCUCAUCCAGCCAACCGGUGAGAUGAGAAAAGUCGUAACAUAGUAGGCGUAUCGGAAGAUGCGCCUGGAAAACAAA